AUGGCGUCUUGCUCCCACCCUUGGCUCUUCCCAGGCAUGUCGCCGCCGCCGGCUGCCUCCACCGCCGUGCCGGUUCCGAGCUUCUGCAAGUCCUCGAAGGUGUUUGCUAGUUUGCGUCAGCGGAGAAAGGCAGGGUCAGUCGCGCCGACCAGAACGCGGAGAUGCACGAUCAGGUGCGUCAAGGACGAGUCUAUCCAUUUUGACCCGUCGAAGAUCGAAGCGCCACCGUACUCCAGUUAUUUCGACUCCACAUCUGGUCAGCUCGAGCCAGCGUCAGGUGCCCGGGCAAGCAUACCUGGGCAGGAGUACUGGCCGGAGGGCACUGCAGCCCGCGUCCGUGCUGCCCGUGCACCUGCACCGGUCGGGGAGUCGGCCGGGACUCCGUCUCUUGGCAAGAAACCCGGGAGUAGGAGGAAAGGGUACAAGGGGCAGGUAGCGUCUGCAUCAGCGGCGGGCGGUGCAGAGACCAGUGGAGAUGACGGCGAGUUCAUUGUGGCCACUGAGGUUCCACUAGAUGAUACAUUGGAGGAAACAAAUGAUUCGCUGAAUGAAUAUGUCAUUUACGAGGCGCCCAAGGAGGAGAGUUUGAGCGAGUAUGAGAUGGACAAGAUGAUGGGGCGGCCACACCCAUUUGUUGACCCAGCAAAGGCGAUGUUGGCAGAGGAACCGAAAUCGAGCGAGGAGCUCUGGUGGAAUUGGAGGAGGAAGUCCGAGGCAGAAAUGUGGUCAAGGUGGCAGAGGAGGCGCCCAGAUGUUGACACGGUCUUUGCAAAGGCAAUGGCCGAAACUGGGCAGAUUAAAAUAUUUGGAGAUCACCCUACAAGAACAGAAGCUGCUCUUGCCAAGACAAGAAGAUAUUUACACAAAGAGGAAAGGUUAGAAGCAGAACAGAGGAGACUAGAAGAAAUAGGACCAAUAGCAUACUAUUCAGAAUGGGUAGAAGCAUAUAAGCAAAAGGACACAUCAUGGGAAGCCAUUCAGAAGCACUUUGAGGAGACUGGUGAAGAUGCAAAUACUCAACUUAUAACAAUGUUUCAACACCAAACUGCUGGGGAAUAUCGUAUCAUGAUGGGCACUGAUGUUCGUAUACAACGAGAUCCUUUGGCAAUGAGGAUGCGUGAAGACCAGAUUAAACAGAUUUGGGGUGGUGAUCCUGUUUACCCGACUGUGAACUAUGUUCAGGAUCCUGAUGAAGUGAUUGACUACAGGAGUCCGGAAUUUCAUGAGCCUACCCCUGAAGUUGUACCUUAUUUGAUGGAGCAUGGGAUAAUGAUCACGAAAGAAGAACUGGAUGCACGUUUGAUGGAAGAGGAAGAAGACAUCAAUCAAGACAUCACGUACAUUCCUGAAGUCAAAGAUCCCAUGGCUACUGCUGUUGAUAUUGGAGAGCAUUCUUUCAAUGAAGAUAGUGAUGAUGAGGAGGAGGUUGACAAAGCUGUCACACUGCCCGAGUCACUAGAGGAUGAGGAAGAUGGCGGGGAUGAGGCUGUGGAAGUUGAAGGGAAAGUGAGUCAAAACUGGAGUGUUCUAAAGACUACUGGGCAGGACGAAAAACCAAAGGAAAAGUUAAAGAAAGAUCAGAUGUCACUUAAAGACGCUAUUAAUGAGUCCGAGAACCUUACUGAUUUCCUUAUGGACUUUGAAGAAGAUGAGUAA
This 1656-nucleotide ribosomal RNA is filed under the name Triticum aestivum (bread wheat). Its description in RNAcentral is "partial small subunit ribosomal RNA". The record is from RNAcentral. Lineage: Eukaryota; Viridiplantae; Streptophyta; Magnoliopsida; Poales; Poaceae.